Molecule: ribosomal RNA, 201 nt
Filed under: uncultured bacterium
Lineage: Bacteria
Description: partial 16S ribosomal RNA
Rfam family: Bacterial small subunit ribosomal RNA
Source: RNAcentral
ACGCUCGACACCUACUGGAGGCAGCAGUGGGGAAUAUUGGGCAAUGGAGGGAACUCUGACCCAGCAAUGCCGCGUGAGUGAAGAAGGUUUUCGGAUUGUAAAACUCUUUAAUCGGGGACGAAGAAAGUGACUGUACCCGAGGAAUAAGCAUCGGCUAACUACGUGCCAGCAGCCGCGGUAAUCUGAGCGGGCUGGCAAGGC